RNAcentral lists this ribosomal RNA (428 nucleotides) under uncultured bacterium. Its description in RNAcentral is "bacterial SSU rRNA". It matches the Rfam family "Bacterial small subunit ribosomal RNA", at positions 504 to 930 of the family's 1533-position model. The record is from RNAcentral.
UGUGUCAGCAGCCGCGGUAAUACGGAGGUGGCAAGCGUUGUUCGGAAUUACUGGGCGUAAAGGGCGCGUAGGCGGCAUGGCAAGUCAGAUGUGAAAGCCCCGGGCUUAACUCGGGAAUUGCAUCUGAAACUGCUUUGCUUGAGUCCUGGAGGGGGUAGUGGAAUUCCCAGUGUAGCGGUGAAAUGCGUAGAUAUUGGGAGGAACACCGGUGGCGAAGGCGGCUACCUGGACAGUGACUGACGCUGAGGCGCGAAAGCCAGGGGAGCAAACGGGAUUAGAUACCCCGGUAGUCCUGGCUGUAAACGAUGGGCACUUGGUGUCGGGGGUAUUGAGUCCCCCGGUGCCGGAGUUAACACGUUAAGUGCCCCGCCUGGGGAGUACGGUCGCAAGACUGAAACUCAAAGGAAUUGACGGGGGCCCGCACAAGC